Molecule: non-coding RNA, 68 nt
Filed under: uncultured eukaryote
Lineage: Eukaryota
Source: RNAcentral
UUAUGCCAAUUAAAUUUACAAAUUUUUUUUUUUUUCUUUUUUUUAAACAAAAAAAAAAAAAAAAAAAA